AUAUCGAAACGGCAAACCCGGGGAAAUCCGGCGACGCAAAGCUAGAGGGGCUACCUCCGCACAAGCGGGCAUGCCAGCCAGCUACCGAA
Molecule: non-coding RNA, 89 nt
Organism: Brevibacillus parabrevis
Lineage: Bacteria; Bacillati; Bacillota; Bacilli; Caryophanales; Paenibacillaceae
Source: Rfam